UACGAAGGGGGCUAGCGUUGCUCGGAAUCACUGGGCGUAAAGCGCACGUAGGCGGACUCUUAAGUCGGUGGUGAAAUCCUGGAGCUCAACUCCAGAACUGCCUUCGAUACUGGGAGUCUCGAGUCCGGGAGAGGUGAGUGGAACUGCGAGUGUAGAGGUGAAAUUCGUAGAUAUUCGCAAGAACACCAGUGGCGAAGGCGGCUCACUGGCCCGGUACUGACGCUGAGGAGCGAAAGCGUGGGGAGCGAACAGG
This 253-nucleotide ribosomal RNA is filed under the name uncultured bacterium. RNAcentral's name for it is "partial 16S ribosomal RNA". It matches the Rfam family "Bacterial small subunit ribosomal RNA", at positions 524 to 776 of the family's 1533-position model. The record is from RNAcentral.